CAAGACUAGCAGAGAAGGAUUCCAGACCAGAAGAGAACACCGAUGAGGAAGCUAGCAAGAGGAGGGUGCAGGGACUGCCUACCCCAAUGACCUCCACCAGGGGAUCCUGAAGUCUUCCAACCCAGAAGCUGAUGACCAUUGGUGUUUAAAUCUGGCCUAGGGCAAUGAGGCGAAAGAGGUCAGCACCCUGGGAAGAAGAGACCAAUCCCACACUCGCCUGAAAAAUCCUGACAUGAGAGGAACCUUGAGCCAACAGCAGAGGGUGCUGUUGUCCUGUCUUAGAUUUGGACUGGAACCUUGAGACCACCCCCAAAUCUCUGCACCUUCCUCAGGAUGAGGCAUCUGGGCCACAACAGCAGGAACAAGUGAACGGCCAAGACAGGACUAACUCCACAGUAGACUUCAUCUGUUUUGCUCAUUCUCCUUGCUGGUCUCUCUUCCACUGACAGCCCGUGGUUCCAGCAGGAAUCCAGUUUCAUCUCCUGGCCAGUUUUCCCUUGACCUUCGUGGUUCAUUUGGCCCAGCCCCACCCCCCAACAUGUUUGAGG
Long non-coding RNA from Phyllostomus discolor (pale spear-nosed bat), 548 nucleotides. RefSeq lists it as uncharacterized. NCBI's taxonomy places the organism in Eukaryota, Metazoa, Chordata, Mammalia, Chiroptera, Phyllostomidae. The record is from RefSeq and is a predicted model, not a curated record. The transcript is spliced from 2 exons.